UAAUGCCAAGUCGCCAUUUACAUAAUGAAGAAGCAUAUUAAUCACUGAUGUAGAGAUAUUCUUACUGCAUUCUAUAAUCACCAAAAAAUUUUGGAGGGUCUACUUUACAAAUGUAGGUAGAUACAUGGCUAACGAAAAAGAAACACACCAAAAAUAAUCAAAAAAAGUACAAUGCUAUCAACAUGGCUAACGAAGAAAAAUAACCAAAUCAGGAAAACAAUGGCAGAAAGAAAUGCACACCAAAAGCAAAAGCAGAAAAAUAAACCAGCGACCACAAGCAUGAGCAUUCAACAACUUUGCAAAUCAAAAAAUCAAAAGCAUACAGGAAUUGCAAGACACAGACCAAAAAAAAACUUCUUUACAGAUCAAGAGGGAAAAAACAGAUCUAACCCAAAAAAAAAUCCACCACCACCAAGUGAAUGAAAAUAAAAAGUCAUAAUUUGUCUCAUAAGACCUGAUGUUCUCUAUGUUGACAGAAAGAUAGAAGCAAAAUUAGAUAAAUAAGAUUAAUGGACUACAUAAGUUUCCAAUUUUUAAAGAAUAUUGUAGGAGGACAAAACUUCUUUCUUCUUGUAACUAAAUCACAAAGAUACUUACAGAACGAAAAGCUUCAAAGUAAAAUAAAGAAAAGCAAAACCCAAAAAAUACAAAAAACAGAACAUAAAAGAUGUUUGCUCCAAGGAAUGAAACUUCAAGCAUCAUUUGCACUUGGUAUGAAAAAUUGUUAUUCUAAUCUUUACAAAUUGUAGCCUCACAUAUGAUCUGAUGCAAAACUUAUUCUUUCCAAAAUUGACUUAUGAUCUGAAUGUAAAACUUAUUACUCUAAAUAUGAUCUGAAUGCAAAACUUACAAAUUGUACAGUACAACGGCAUUAGUAAUGCAAUCACAAACUGAUUAGUAAAAGGCAUUACAGAAAGGAAAAAAAUUUCCAACAGCACCGACGAAAAAGUAUCAUAAGCCUGAUAACAACUCAAAAAAAUGAGCAAACACGACACAAGAAAAAGGUGCAAUAGCUGCAACACAAACAAAAAACUUUUAAUGGAAAACAACCACCAAAGAAAUCACAAACCAGUUUCCUAAAAGCAAUGAAAAAAAUGCUUGCACAACAAAAUACGACAACCAUUAGUAUCAAACAAGUUUUUACAGAGGAGGAGAAAAACAGGAAUGCAGAGCAAAUCUAAGGUAGGAAGACAAAAUAUGUAUUCUAGCAGGAAAUCCAAGUCCCGGGGAUUUCUUUAUUUUUUUUUGCCUUUUUAGGGUGGAAUCCUAGAACUAAAAAUAACCCAAAUAGCACAUGAAACAAGCACAAAAAAGCUUAAAAGAAAGGAAAACAAAAAAAAAAUCUAGGAGGGAAAAAAUGCCAUAGCAGAAAGGAUUUUACCGGGUAAAAAUAAAAAAAAAAUUCCAAGGGGUAAAAAUCAAUACAAACAGCCAUGAAACAAGCACAAAGAACAGCUGAGAAGUGUAAAAAACAGCAACACCACAAUUGCUCAAACAUGGAAGGAAAAUAAACAAAAAUAGAGAGAAAAUAACAAAAUAAUGAAGGUAGUACCUUAAUGGAUAGAAGAUGCUUCAGUGCUUGUAGUUCUUUCUCAGACGAAAAAUAAGAGUGCAUAAAUUGAAAGCUCCACAGAUCUACACUCUAGUUGCAUUCUAGAUAAAACAAGACAAAACAUCAAUGUAACCAAAGUUUUAAUAGAAAAGAAAGCGAAAAAAAAUCACCAAUGAAGGGAAAGUAGCGGAAAAACCAAGGUAGUACCUGAAACAAUAGAGAGGAAGCAGCAGUUGACGCUUCACUUCUAGUUCUAUCUGAGACUGAAAAAUAAGUCAAGAAAUCAAAAGCAAGACAAAAAACAGCAGUCUCCCAACCAAGGAGCCAAGAAACGGAAAAAAAAAGAUCAGUGGAAAAGACCACCGUGGAGUUACAUAUUUUGUGUAUGGCCGACUAUGGUAGCCGCGAUUUCGUUUACCAGGUUUGAAGCUACAAAUAAUUUUUGAAAAGAAAUAUGCAGCUCUCAUGGUAUCAGCCGAUCAAUCGGGCAAAAAAAAUUAAAGAAAAAAGAAAAACAAUAAAAAGGUGAAAGUAAUAUUUAAGAAUGAAAUCAAAGAAUGAGAAGGAAAGAAGGAGGAGAGAUAAUAAAGAUUUUGAGAGCAACAAGCAGAGGGAAAGAUCUGACCAAUGAGCGGCGGUGAGAAGAAGAGGAGAAGGGAGGAGAAAACAGCUUCAAUCCAUCUACAAUAGGAGAAAAGAAAGAAGAGAGGAAGACGAGAUAGAAAAGAAGAAAAGACAAAUGCAGGAGAAAGGAGAAGAGAAAACAAAGUCGAGGAGACGGAGCUUCUGAGAAUAGGGUGAGGCAAAGCGGCGGCGGCGGAGGAAUUUAAGAAACCCUAGAGAGGAAGUAUAUGCAGGACUUCUGGCGCAUAGCGCGGGAAAAAAAUGGCUGGUAACUCACAUGUGCGGCACGUGAGAGGACGACGAAAACCAUCCACGUCAGAAGAGCUCUUCGGCUCUUAUUCUACUUAUGUUGAAAAGACCACCGUGGAGUUACAUAUUUUGUGUAUGGCCGACUAUGGUAGCCGCGAUUUCGUUUACCAGGUUUGAAGCUACAAAUAAUUUUUGAAAAGAAAUAUGCAGCUCUCAUGGUAUCAGCCGAUCAAUCGGGCAAAAAAAAUUAAAGAAAAAAGAAAAACAAUAAAAAGGUGAAAGUAAUAUUUAAGAAUGAAAUCAAAGAAUGAGAAGGAAAGAAGGAGGAGAGAUAAUAAAGAUUUUGAGAGCAACAAGCAGAGGGAAAGAUCUGACCAAUGAGCGGCGGUGAGAAGAAGAGGAGAAGGGAGGAGAAAACAGCUUCAAUCCAUCUACAAUAGGAGAAAAGAAAGAAGAGAGGAAGACGAGAUAGAAAAGAAGAAAAGACAAAUG
Molecule: long non-coding RNA, 2917 nt
Filed under: Coffea arabica (coffee)
Lineage: Eukaryota; Viridiplantae; Streptophyta; Magnoliopsida; Gentianales; Rubiaceae
Description: long non-coding RNA (CARA_LNC003941)
Source: RNAcentral